GGAAACAGGUGCUAAUACCGCAUAAAACCUAACACCGCAUGGUGUAGGGUUGAAAGAUGGUUUCGGCUAUCACUUUAGGAUGGACCCGCGGUGCAUUAGUUAGUUGGUGAGGUAAAGGCUCACCAAGACCGUGAUGCAUAGCCGACCUGAGAGGGUAAUCGGCCACACUGGGACUGAGACACGGCCCAGACUCCUACGGGAGGCAGCAGUAGGGAAUCUUCCACAAUGGACGAGAGUCUGAUGGAGCAACGCCGCGUGAGUGAAGAAGGUUUUCGGAUCGUAAAACUCUGUUGUUGGAGAAGAAUGUAUCUGAUAGUAACUGAUCAGGUAGUGACGGUAUCCAACCAGAAAGCCACGGCUAACUACGUGCCAGCAGCCGCGGUAAUAAGAU
Molecule: ribosomal RNA, 391 nt
Filed under: uncultured Lactobacillus sp.
Lineage: Bacteria; Bacillati; Bacillota; Bacilli; Lactobacillales; Lactobacillaceae
Description: bacterial SSU rRNA
Rfam family: Bacterial small subunit ribosomal RNA
Source: RNAcentral